RNAcentral lists this ribosomal RNA (497 nucleotides) under uncultured bacterium. RNAcentral's name for it is "partial 16S ribosomal RNA". It matches the Rfam family "Bacterial small subunit ribosomal RNA", at positions 28 to 507 of the family's 1533-position model. The record is from RNAcentral.
GAUGAACGCUGGCGGCGUGCCUAAUACAUGCAAGUCGAGCGAACAGAUUAGUAGCUUUCUCCUCUGUCGUUAGCGGCGGACGGGUGAGUAACACGUGGAUAACCUCCCUAUCAGACUGGUAUAACUUCGGGAAACCGGUGCUAAUACCGUAUAAUCUUUUGAACCGCAUUGUUCAUUAUUGAACGACGGUUUUUCUGUCACUGAUAUAUGUAUCCGCGACGCAUUAGCUAGUUGGUAAGGUACCGGCUUACUAAGGCAACGAUGCGUAGCCGAACUGGGAGUGUGAUGAGCCACACUGGAACUGAGACACGGUCCAGAGUCAGACGGGAGGCAGAGGUAGGAAUAGGUAAGAAAUGGGAGAAAGCCUGACGGAGAAACGCCGAGGGAGUGAGGAAGGUGUACGGAUAGUAAAACGCAGUUAUUAGGGAAGAACAAAUGAGAAAGUAACGAGGCACGAAUUGAAGGUACCUAAUCAGAAAGCCACGGCUAACUACGUG